CCUACGGGAGGCAGCAGUGAGGAAUAUUGGUCAAUGGACGAGCGUCUGAACCAGCCAAGUAGCGUGAAGGAUGACUGCCCUAUGGGUUGUAAACUUCUUUUAUCUGGGAAUAAAACAGGGUAUGCAUACCCUCUUGUAUGUACCAUAUGAAUAAGGAUCGGCUAACUCCGUGCCAGCAGCCGCGGUAAUACGGAGGAUCCGAGCGUUAUCCGGAUUUAUUGGGUUUAAAGGGAGCGUAGGUGGAUUGUUAAGUCAGUUGUGAAAGUUUGCGGCUAAACCGUAAAAUUGCAGUUGAAACUGGCAGUCUUGAGUACAGUAGAGGUGGGCGGAAGUCGUGGUGUAGCGGUGAAAGGCUUAGAUAUCACGAAGAACUCCGAUUGCGAAGGCAGCUCACUGGACUGCAACUGACACUGAUGCUCGAAAGUGUGGGUAUCAAACAGGAGUAGAUACCCUUGUAGUC
This 460-nucleotide ribosomal RNA is filed under the name uncultured bacterium. Its description in RNAcentral is "partial 16S ribosomal RNA". It matches the Rfam family "Bacterial small subunit ribosomal RNA", at positions 338 to 795 of the family's 1533-position model. The record is from RNAcentral.